RNAcentral lists this transfer RNA (75 nucleotides) under bacterium. Its description in RNAcentral is "tRNA-Thr". It matches the Rfam family "tRNA". Rfam says of the family: Transfer RNA (tRNA) molecules are approximately 80 nucleotides in length. Their secondary structure includes four short double-helical elements and three loops (D, anti-codon, and T loops). The record is from RNAcentral.
GCUGGUGUAGCUCAAUGGUAGAGCAACUGAUUUGUAAUCAGUAGGUUGUGGGUUCAAGUCCAAUCACCAGCUCCA